Molecule: non-coding RNA, 45 nt
Organism: Schistosoma curassoni
Lineage: Eukaryota; Metazoa; Platyhelminthes; Trematoda; Strigeidida; Schistosomatidae
Source: Rfam
AUCCAACUGACGAGUCCCAGCUAGGACGAAACGUGUGUCCUGGAU